Molecule: long non-coding RNA, 1726 nt
Organism: Callithrix jacchus (white-tufted-ear marmoset)
Lineage: Eukaryota; Metazoa; Chordata; Mammalia; Primates; Cebidae
Source: Ensembl
AUUCCAGACGUGUAAUAUGCUGCAUUUUCAUUCCAGGUCAACAGAUACAGGAAUGGAGACACAAAAAAAUAAAUCUGAAAGCAGACAUAAUGACAAGAAGCCAUAUUUGGUUGUUGUGGUGUGAAAGGAACCCUGGGCUAAAAGCCAGGGAAUCUUCCACCACCACUUACUUAGCCAGGUGACCUCAGGGGAAGUGUUUUCUGUCUCUAAGCAAUUGUCCAUUCAUGUGUACAAGAUGGGUAAUACCAGCUCCAAAGCCUAUUUUCCCAGGGCUGUUAGGAGGAAUAAAUAUAAGAGCUGGGAUUCGAGGCAGGAAUACAAAUCAGGAAAAAACAAUAGAGCAGAAAAGAGAAGUUUGGCAUCUGACUCAAGGUUGCAGCAACGGCAUGAAAUCUGCUCGCUCUGACCCUGGAAAUGCCCAGCUGGAGAACUGGUGUGCAUUUGUGAUGUCUGGGUGGACCAGCUGGGUAACAUCACCAUGCCUGUGCAUAGAGAAGGAAUGAUUCUCCCUCUUCCCUUUCACUGUAUCCAGAGUCUGCUAAUGAGGUCCAGAGGACUGACUGCAGAGCCCAUUUUUCCUUUGUAGGAGGCACAUAUGGUACAAUUAUAAAUUACCCAUACCCAAGCCAAAUACACACACACACACACAGAUUAAAUGUAAGCAGUUAAUGAAACAAACAUAUGAAUUAUAGCAGACAUCAAAGUAUCUCUUUUUCAGGGUUACCAUUUUGGAUUACCAUCUAGCCCAUUAGAUGUUUGCUGAAUAAAUUCAGACCAGUGUUAACCAAUAAAAUACAUAUCUACAUGAAUUAGAUGGUGGUCCAAUAUAAUAUUUUCUAUUAAGUAGUGAAUUGUCUUCUUUUAGAUAUUUUGAAAUUAAUGUCCUCUUUAUCACCUGCUAAAUCUGUAUGUUUUUGUUUAAACACAAUGGAACAAUUCAACAAGGUAUUAUAAGAUUUCAUCUAGUGAGGAUAAAAGCUGUUUAGAAAGCAUGACUUAAAAUUUCUCAAAGCUGUUUACUGUCUUGCCUAAAUUAUGCAGACAGAGCUUAUAUAUUAGGGCCUUUGGAUCUUUAGAUUGGAAACAUUUUCAGAUUUAGAAAAGCUUCAUUGUUUAGUUUGAACUUUUCCAUUUAAAAUAAUCAGAGGUGAAUGGGAAACAUAAUCCUCUUACUAAUGUGUUUUUUUAUGAGUGAAUGCUGAGAAACUUAACAUAAAGAUGCAAUCUGAAAAAAAGAAAUAGAAAAGAACUUUCUCACUUUCACUUAAUUACUAAUAAAAAAUUAUAAAAUAUAAAGCCUAAUGUUUAGUGUCAUCUCUUAUUGGAAUAUGUCAGCUUCCCCAGAGACAAUGCAUUGCCACAAGUAGCUAUUUGAAACAAAUCUUUCUGUGAUAUCUGAAGACACUCUUCUGCAAGGCUCUCUCUUCAAGAGUUUCAAAGCAGCACUUUCCCAACCCUCUGUGCAUCCAGCUAAACAAAGCAAGCAAAGGACUAUUUCUCUUUGACUUAUAUUUUACUCGUUAGUCAUUUUGUAUCAUUAUAAUUCUGAAAUAAAAUAAGCCUUAAGAGAAAAAAAUCCACCACAUAUUUUAUAUUAAAUGUUCAUUCAUGAGCUAAUCUUAGCUAGCUGUUCCUUUGAAACCACAAUGCAGUCUUAAAAUCAUUUAAACUGUUACUAAUUUAGCAGUUGUACAGUGAUGGAUUUUUCAGGUUGCUUACAUAUAGA